GUUUGAAAUUUUUAUAUAAUUAUAGGUUAAAUUUUAAUUAUUUAAAAUGUAUAGUUAUAAUUUUAAAUUUUGUUAAUCGAAUUAGAUUAGUACCUAAUUAGUCAAAAGUUAAAAAAGCAGAAGUAAAGUAAAAUUUAAACUGAAAGAAUAUUGGCAGAUUUUCUAAAUUAUCUUUGGAGGUUGAGUAAUAAUUGAGAACCCUCAUUAACUACUUUUUUAGUUGUCUCAUGUAUGAUCGUUUAUUAUAUGCUUAAGGGAUAUAAUUAAAAAUUUUUAUUUAAAAAAAUAGAUAUAUAUUUGGUUUAUAUAAAAGUAAUAUUUGACCUACAGUAAUUUGUAAUUGUGGAUCUAUUUUUUAGUAAAGUAGUGAAAAUGUAAAAGACAGUAAAAAAAUUUUUAUGAUUUUUUGAAGAUUAUUUAGAAG
RNAcentral lists this ribosomal RNA (424 nucleotides) under Uncinaria lucasi. RNAcentral's name for it is "partial 12S ribosomal RNA". Lineage: Eukaryota; Metazoa; Nematoda; Chromadorea; Rhabditida; Ancylostomatidae. The record is from RNAcentral.